GGGCCUGUAGCUCAGCAAGGCAGAGCAUCGGGCUUUUAACCCGGUGGUCAGGGGUUCGACUCCCCUCAGGCCCG
RNAcentral lists this transfer RNA (74 nucleotides) under Candidatus Bathyarchaeota archaeon. RNAcentral describes it as "tRNA-Lys". It matches the Rfam family "tRNA". Rfam says of the family: Transfer RNA (tRNA) molecules are approximately 80 nucleotides in length. Their secondary structure includes four short double-helical elements and three loops (D, anti-codon, and T loops). Lineage: Archaea; Thermoproteati; Candidatus Bathyarchaeota. The record is from RNAcentral.